UAUGAAUGGUUCGAAGCAGCCACCCAGUUAGAGCCCUCACCAAUUCCAAGACAGGUGGAUAUGAUAGAACCCCACGCAGCAUCAGAAAUCUUCCCAGAUUUGCUACCUGAUCCUUUCCCCUUCUGCUUUAUUGCGGGACCAACGCUCAAUCAGUCUGCUUUGACGUGCUAUUGGAUGAAUGGGUCAUACUAGCAGCCAAGAGACUAGAACUUACCAGGGGCCUCUGGAGAUGGAGACUCAGCUGAGACGUCUCUACCUCUCCCCAAAGCCCAGGACUUCUCGUCCUGCUCCUGAUAACCUCCACGAGGCGCUUCUCUGACGUCCUGCCAGACAGAAACUUGGUUAACUCUUCUCCUGGUUUCUACUGAAAUGGAAAUAGGUUCUACACACAGCCAAGUAUUCUGGGUUUUUUUCUUAAUAAAACUUUGAGCAGAGCAA
Suricata suricatta (meerkat) is the source of this 438-nucleotide long non-coding RNA. RefSeq lists it as uncharacterized. The transcript has 2 exons. NCBI's taxonomy places the organism in Eukaryota, Metazoa, Chordata, Mammalia, Carnivora, Herpestidae. The record is from RefSeq and is a predicted model, not a curated record.